RNAcentral lists this ribosomal RNA (548 nucleotides) under Pichia occidentalis. Its description in RNAcentral is "eukaryotic LSU rRNA". It matches the Rfam family "Eukaryotic large subunit ribosomal RNA", at positions 54 to 629 of the family's 3401-position model. Lineage: Eukaryota; Fungi; Ascomycota; Pichiomycetes; Pichiales; Pichiaceae. The record is from RNAcentral.
AGGAAAAGAAACCAACAGGGAUUGCCUCAGUAGCGGCGAGUGAAGCGGCAAAAGCUCAGAUUUGAAAUCGUGUUUCGGCACGAGUUGUAGAUUGCAGGUUGGAGUCUUUGUGGAAGCGUGUGUCUAAGUCCCUUGGAACAGGGUGCCAUUGAGGGUGAGAGCCCCGUGAGACGCGUGCGGAAGCUGUAAGGCCCUUCUGACGAGUCGAGUUGUUUGGGAAUGCAGCUCUAAGUGGGUGGUAAAUUCCAUCUAAGGCUAAAUAUUGGCGAGAGACCGAUAGCGAACAAGUACUGUGAAGGAAAGAUGAAAAGCACUUUGAAAAGAGAGUGAAACAGCACGUGAAAUUGUUGAAAGGGAAGGGUAUUGGGCUCGACAUGGGAUUUGCGCACCGCUGCUCCUUGUGGGCGGCGCUCUGUGCUUUUCCUGGGCCAGCAUCGGUUUUUGCCGCAGGAGAAGGCGUGCUGGAAUGUGGCUCUUCGGAGUGUUAUAGCCAGUGCGAGAUGCUGCGUGCGGGGACCGAGGACUGCGACAUCUGUCUCGGAUGCUGC